CUCUAAUAGCGUAUAUUAAAGUUGUUGCAGUUAAAAAGCUCGUAGUUGAAUGUUGGGGUCGUAUGAGCGAUCGGCUUCGGUCGAAUUGCUCCUCCGGCUCCUUCCUUCUGUGGACUGCGUCACUCUUCACUGAGGGGCGCCAGGACGCAGAUCGUUUACUGUGAAAAAUUAGAAGUGUUCAAGCAGGCCGUACGCUUGAA
RNAcentral lists this ribosomal RNA (200 nucleotides) under uncultured eukaryote. Its description in RNAcentral is "partial 18S ribosomal RNA". It matches the Rfam family "Eukaryotic small subunit ribosomal RNA", at positions 589 to 799 of the family's 1831-position model. The record is from RNAcentral.